RNAcentral lists this transfer RNA (67 nucleotides) under Parnassius smintheus (Rocky Mountain parnassian). RNAcentral's name for it is "tRNA-Asn". The record is from RNAcentral. Lineage: Eukaryota; Metazoa; Arthropoda; Insecta; Lepidoptera; Papilionidae. RNAcentral also lists the same sequence under 1 other name.
UUAAUUGAAACCAAAUAGAGGUAUAUCACUGUUAAUGAUAUUAUUGAAUUACAAUAUUCCAAUUAAA